This is a non-coding RNA of Microcebus murinus (gray mouse lemur), 1768 nucleotides long. The record is from RefSeq and is a predicted model, not a curated record. NCBI's taxonomy places the organism in Eukaryota, Metazoa, Chordata, Mammalia, Primates, Cheirogaleidae.
UGAGCGGCUCUGCCGAAGUGCUUCCCCUGAAACCCACUGAUGAUUAAGAGCAUUUCCAGGCUGAGCCAACCACGCCGGCAUUAGAGUCUAAGGACUACUGGGAACCAAGGACUGACGCCCAUGUCUCAGAGCUGUGCCUUCCACUGCCUCCUAAAUAUCUGGUCUGCAGCUGGUUCACGGCCCCGAGUGCAGGUAGAGCAGACCUCCAAAACGACCAAAGGAAGAGAUUCAGCAAAAUGAGCCAAUGAUGCGUGUGAAGAACCACAUCAGUCAGUAAGCAUUGACUGAGCACCUUCUGUAUGCACAAGUUCACCUCAAAACAGCUGCUUGCAUCUUCUUGGAGCCGACUGGGUCGUGUGUUAGGGCCUGAACCAAUCAUCUGGCGAUAGUUGGGGUCUGUUAAAGAAAAAGACCAGUCUGCAGUAUGGUCUUCAAAUCUCCUUGCUGCCUCGAGAUCAAUCCAGGAAACCAGGUUGUUUGAUGCUUAAAUGACUAAACAAAAUGACCCUUGCAUCUUGGUUAGAGUAUAUUGCAGCAAACUCAGAGCAAAUCAUCUUGGCACCCAAAUAACCUCCAAGCUCCUUGCGUGCUGGUUAAGAGAAGAACGUCAUCUUGUAGGUUACAAGAUGGCAUUUGCUUGAAUCUGACACCAUACUCCUUGCAUGUAUGCCUGGCUUAUAAUUGGGUUACCCAAGAUACCAAGACAAGAGGCCUUUCCUGAGCACCUGUGACGUGCCAGGAGCUGUGCUGGGGUCUGACGGUAAGAGGCAGUCGCCGUCUCUUACGGGGCUCAUGGUUUCGUGCAGGAGACAGACACGUAAGCAAAUCUCGGCAGCUCGCAAGGCCAGAGGUGCACUAGAGGGUAAGAACCGAGUGCUGGGAGAGCACAGCUAGGGGCUGAUUCACGCCACCGGGGACCAGGGCAGGCAGGUGGGGUGCUGGGAGGCGAGGAUACAGAGCAGGGAAGAGCAUCUCUGUUACGUCACAGCAGGGUGAGGGACAGGGGAGAGUGACCAGUGUGUUGGUGAGCAGGAGAGAGGGCUGCGGGAGUCUCAGGCAGAAAGACCCAGGCUGAGGCCACAUCUGGACCCUGAAAUCUUCGAUCAGUGUCUGGACUUACCCUAAGGGCGAAGCGCGAUGAACAUCUUUGUGCACAGCUGUGGUCAUCGGGAGGCUGCAGGCAAAGACCGUUUCAAGGGCAGGAAUGCUGGGUGCGACUUGGGUCGAGGCAGAGCCUGGAGACAGCAGCCUGGUCAGGAGAAUGACCGUUUUGCGACCACUGGAAACUCGAGGCUGCCUCUCCCAGACCUCAGCUGUCGUCAGCGGGGGAAGAGGACAUAGACGCGAGAGAAACACGAAGGAAAUCUUCAGCACGUGGUGUCGGGGUGUGGGGUAGAGGGGGAUGUGGAGCUUCUAGGGAUAUAUUAAUAGCAGUGAUGGGGAUGAAGACGAUGAGAACUAACCUUUCCCAAGUGCUGUUCUAAGCUUGCAUGAUUCCUUCCAAUCCUCACCCUACCCGCUGAAGGAGGGACUGUAAUUCCCAUUUUAGAGAUGGAAAGAAUGAGGCACGGAACAUGCUAUGGUUUGAGUAUUUGUCCCCUCCACAACUCAUGUUGGAAUUUAGUCCCCAUCGUGGCAGUAUUGGGAGGUGGGUCACCAGGGCCCUGUCCUCAGGAAUGGAUUCAUCCACCGGUGGGCAGCUGGAUUCAUGGGUUAUCUCGGGAGAAGAACCGAUGGCUUUAUAAGAAAAGGAACAGAGGCCGGGUGC